GACGAACGCUGGCGGCGUGCUUAACACAUGCAAGUCGAACGGAAAGGCCCUGCUUUUGUGGGGUGCUCGAGUGGCGAACGGGUGAGUAACACGUGAGUAACCUGCCCUUGACUUUGGGAUAACUUCAGGAAACUGGGGCUAAUACCGGAUAGGAGCUCCUGCUGCAUGGUUGUGGUUGGAAAGUUUCGGCGGUUGGGGAUGGACUCGCGGCUUAUCAUCUUGUUGGUUGGGUAGUGGCUUACCAAGUCUUUGACGGGUAGCCGGCCUGAGAGGGUGACCGGCCACAUUGGGACUGAGAUACGGCCAAGACUCCUACGGGAGGAAGCAGUGGGGAAUAUUGCACAAUGGGCGGAAGCCUGAUGCAGCAACGCCGCGUGCGGGAUGACGGCCUUCGGGUUGUAAACCGCUUUAGCCUGUGACGAAGCGUGAGUGACGGUAAUGGGUAAAGAAGCACCGGCUAACUACGUG
Molecule: ribosomal RNA, 468 nt
Filed under: uncultured bacterium
Lineage: Bacteria
Description: partial 16S ribosomal RNA
Rfam family: Bacterial small subunit ribosomal RNA
Source: RNAcentral